GACGAACGCUGGCGGCGUGCUUAACACAUGCAAGUCGAACGAAGAGCGAUGGAAGCUUGCUUCUAUCAAUCUUAGUGGCGAACAGGUGAGUAACGCGUAAUCAACCUGCCCUUCAGAGGGGGACAACAGUUGGAAACGACUGCUAAUACCGCAUACGAUCUAAUCUCGGCAUCGAGGAUAGAUGAAAGGUGGCCUCUACAUGUAAGCUAUCACUGAAGGAGGGGAUUGCGUCUGAUUAGCUAGUUGGAGGGGUAACGGCCCACCAAGGCGAUGAUCAGUAGCCGGUCUGAGAGGAUGAACGGCCACAUUGGGACUGAGACACGGCCCAGACUCCUACGGGAGGCAGCAGUGGGGAAUCUUCCGCAAUGGACGAAAGUCUGACGGAGCAACGCCGCGUGAGUGAUGACGGCCUUCGGGUUGUAAAGCUCUGUUAAUCGGGACGAAAGGCCUUCUUGCGAAUAGUGAGAAGGAUUGACGGUACCGGAAUAGAAAGCCACGGCUAACUACGUG
RNAcentral lists this ribosomal RNA (510 nucleotides) under uncultured bacterium. Its description in RNAcentral is "partial 16S ribosomal RNA". It matches the Rfam family "Bacterial small subunit ribosomal RNA", at positions 28 to 507 of the family's 1533-position model. The record is from RNAcentral.